GCCAGGUGUGGUGGUGUAUGCCUGUAAUCCCAGCUACUUGGGAGGCUGAGGCAUGAGAAUCGCUUGAACCCAGGAGGCGGAGGCUGCAGUAAUCUAAGAUCACAUCACUACACUCCAGCCUGGGUGACAGAGUGAGACCAUGUCUCUA
Macaca fascicularis (crab-eating macaque) is the source of this 148-nucleotide unclassified non-coding RNA. It matches the Rfam family "Metazoan signal recognition particle RNA". From Rfam's summary of the family: The signal recognition particle (SRP) is a universally conserved ribonucleoprotein. It is involved in the co-translational targeting of proteins to membranes. The record is from Ensembl. NCBI's taxonomy places the organism in Eukaryota, Metazoa, Chordata, Mammalia, Primates, Cercopithecidae.